UCAUUUAAAACAGUGGCUCGUUCAAAGAUGAGAAGUGGAAAGGCGGACGUCCUCCUCGCCGUUGUUAAGGUCAGAUAGAUAAUAAUAUGGGGAGCCCUGCUGGAUCAGACGGUUCAAUAUCCUGUCCAUCCACCCCCCAGCACCUUAUAUCGAAGGAGCCCCGCUCAGACGUGACCUUUCCCACUGUGCCUGCCUAAGCCUUUGCUCCUUGAGAGACGAUCCAGUGACCAGACCGAUGCUUUCGGGAGGCCCACAAGACAUGAGAAUCACAUCCCAAGUCAGUGGCAGGAUCCAAGUGUGGCUUGCAAAUUCAAGGUUCAGAGACCAGAAGUGGAGUUGAAACAUGGAGAUAAGACAGUAUUAUAUCACACAGGAGAGAAAGACUGGAUUGCCAAAGGAGUCAUCUGAAAGUGUACAAUUAUGGCUGAUCCAUAUGCUCAUGUUUAAUUCUUAAAAUGUCUUUCCAAAAAAGUUUAUAUGCUUUAGGGGGAAGUCUACCUAUUGCUUCCUUGUGUGUAUAUUUUGACAAUUUAAACUUUGUUUAACUAUUAUUGACAAUGUUAAUGUAUAUAACUAUAUGUAUUUUGUAAGCGUCAUGUUCGUAGUGCAAGUGUAGUGCAGCAGCUGAAGCAUUCACAGUGAGCAAGCAGGCAAGGUGGACGACUGAAGUGAGUGAACUGCAGUGCGAAAGCUUCAACUGCUCAUCUUGGUGGUGGCAGCGGCAGCAGGCAAGGGGUUCAGGAGGCGAGGGCAGCAGGUGAGGUUGGGCCUCUCUACAGGACAGCUUCCCUGUAGUGUGAACACUUCACCACCUGCUUUGGCAGCAGUGGCGGCAGUGACAGGAAAGGGAUGGGAGGUGAGAGAGGUGGGUGAGGGAGCAAGCAAGAUGGGAGAGGCGGCCUGGGUGAGCCAGAGAGGAACAGUCAGGACAGCCCAGGGAAGCUCCUGCUGUUGCUGUGCCCCCCCUCACCAACAGCCUCAAUGGUGGAAGGCAAGUAGGAGGGAAGAGGCAAGAGAGCAGGACUAUUGCUGAGGUGCUGGCUCAGCCACAGGAGGCCUGAAAGGGAGGAGAGAAUGAAGCCUGGUGACCUGGGGGGGGGACAGAGAGGAGAGGCCGUGGUGGAAAAGGAAUCCAAGCACAAUAGCAGCCACACCAGUGAGUCAGGAGCUGUGUGCAUGACCUGGGCCAGCUUGCUCUGUACAGCUGCUCAGCUUGGUGGAGGAAGGCAGGUGUGAUUGGCUUGAGAGGGAGGAAGAGAGGCAGGGCCCAGCAGUCCAGUUCCCUUCCCCAUUCCUACCAAAUGGCUCCAGUUUCUCGCUUCCCCCCAUUGGAGUCCUCAAAGACAUUCCUUUCCUUGCCCCAGGAGAAAUUGUCAGGCAAAUAGGAGUGGUCUGUUGCAAGGAAGAGUUGAGAAAAGGAGGGAGGAUAAAAGAGGGAAAAAGGAGGGGUGAAGGCAAAAAUGGUGUGUGUGUGUGCGCAAAGCAGGAAUGGCAAGUGGAUUGAGAGGGGUUGGUGAACAGAGCGAACAGAGGGGCAUACUAGUAUUCUUUGUAAACUGCUUGAAAGUUUUAUUUUCAAUUAGGUGGAAUACAAAUUCUACUAAAUAAGCAAAUAUGCAACGAAAGCCUGCUGCACUUUGUAAAAUGUGACUGGCUGCACUUGACCAUUUGAAUAGUGGAUCUGGUGGGUGAGCUGCUCUGAGAUGACAAUGAACCACACUUUCUAGUACCACAUGUCCAGUGUCACAUUAUGUGCCUGCUUCCAGUAUUUGGUAAUAAUGAGGCAGGCAGUGAUGAAACCUACAAAGCCUUAGGAGAUCCAUUUAGAGAUAUCUCAUGUUACAUCUAGUUUGGCUCUAGUAUUACCUUUCAGAUUUAUUGUUUGAAUUUACAAAACAGGAUGUUUCUGGGUCUAAGGAAUUUGUGUUUCAAGGCUUCAAUGCUGAAUAGCUGCUAUGAAUGAUUUUUUGAAGUCCAUAACCAAUGGGGCAGUAUAGAUAGUAAUUUUUUGUUUUCCUAAUGGAUGUUUUGUUGGCUUUGUAGGGCUUUAGAUGCAGUGUGUGUAUACACUGAAGAUACUGGCUUUAUAAAAUUCAAAACAAUUGAGGCUUCAGCGAUUUUAUAUUUCAAGUGGUGAUCCUGAGUAAACUUCCUUUGUCUCCUGUUGUACAUUUUAUGUAAUUUUUCAGUUAGAUACUUUAACAA
Molecule: long non-coding RNA, 2205 nt
Organism: Rhineura floridana
Lineage: Eukaryota; Metazoa; Chordata; Lepidosauria; Squamata; Rhineuridae
Exons: 3
Source: RefSeq, a predicted model, not a curated record